Molecule: ribosomal RNA, 440 nt
Filed under: uncultured bacterium
Lineage: Bacteria
Description: bacterial SSU rRNA
Rfam family: Bacterial small subunit ribosomal RNA
Source: RNAcentral
CCUACGGGAGGCAGCAGUAGGGAAUCUUCGGCAAUGGACGAAAGUCUGACCGAGCAACGCCGCGUGAGUGAAGAAGGUUUUCGGAUCGUAAAACUCUGUUGUUAGAGAAGAACGUUGUGUAGAGUGGAAAAUUACACAAGUGACGGUAUCUAACCAGAAAGGGACGGCUAACUACGUGCCAGCAGCCGCGGUAAUACGUAGGUCCCGAGCGUUGUCCGGAUUUAUUGGGCGUAAAGGGCGCGCAGGCGGCUUCUUAAGUCUGAUGUGAAAUCUCGCAGCUCAACUGCGAGCGGUCAUUGGAAACUGGGGAGCUUGAGUACAGAAGAGGAGAGUGGAAUUCCACGUGUAGCGGUGAAAUGCGUAGAGAUGUGGAGGAACACCAGUGGCGAAGGCGGCUCUCUGGUCUGUAACUGACGCUGAGGCGCGAAAGCGUGGGGAGC